AGCUGCGGGAAAUUGCCGAAAGGCGUUUUGCGAGGAAAGUCCGGGCUUCACAGAGCAAAAAUAACGGCUAACGGCCGCCGGAGGCGACUCCAGGGAUAGUGCAACAGAAAAUUACCGCCGCAUUUUGCGGUAAGGAUGGAAAGGUGAGGUAAGAGCUCACCGGAGAUAACGAGAGUUAUCUGCCGUGUAAACCCUAUUUGAAGCAACACCGUGGUAGGACAUUAUACGCUUGCUCGGCGUGUCCUUAGGAGGUGGCAUUGAGCAGUUCCGGCAACGGGCUGCCAAGAUAGAUGGCUGUUCACGACAGAACCCGGCUUACAGAUA
This 324-nucleotide RNase P RNA is filed under the name uncultured Ruminococcus sp. RNAcentral describes it as "Bacterial RNase P class A". It matches the Rfam family "Bacterial RNase P class A". From Rfam's summary of the family: Ribonuclease P (RNase P) is a ubiquitous endoribonuclease, found in archaea, bacteria and eukarya as well as chloroplasts and mitochondria. Its best characterised activity is the generation of mature 5'-ends of tRNAs by cleaving the 5'-leader elements of precursor-tRNAs. Cellular RNase Ps are ribonucleoproteins. Lineage: Bacteria; Bacillati; Bacillota; Clostridia; Eubacteriales; Oscillospiraceae. The record is from RNAcentral.